CCGACCUUAGCUCAGUUGGUAGAGCGGAGGACUGUAGUGGUAUAAGUCAGUAAUCCUUAGGUCGCUGGUUCGAAUCCGGCAGGUCGGA
Molecule: transfer RNA, 88 nt
Organism: Lupinus angustifolius (narrow-leaved blue lupine)
Lineage: Eukaryota; Viridiplantae; Streptophyta; Magnoliopsida; Fabales; Fabaceae
Rfam family: tRNA
About the family: Transfer RNA (tRNA) molecules are approximately 80 nucleotides in length. Their secondary structure includes four short double-helical elements and three loops (D, anti-codon, and T loops).
Source: Rfam